ACGGGAGGCAGCAGUGAGGAAUAUUGGUCAAUGGGCGUAAGCCUGAACCAGCCAAGUAGCGUGAGGGAGGACUGCCCUAUGGGUUGUAAACCUCUUUUGUUUGGGAAUAAAGUGCCCCACGUGUGGGGCAUUGCAUGUACCUUUCGAAUAAGCAUCGGCUAAUUCCGUGCCAGCAGCCGCGGUAGUACGGAAGAUGCGAGCGUUAUCCGGAUUUAUUGGGUUUAAAGGGAGCGUAGGCGGGCUGUUAAGUAAGCGGUCAAAUGUCAGGGCCCACCAUUGGCAUGCCGUUGAUACUGGCGGCCUUGAAUACAGGCAAGGUAAGUGGAAUUCGUCGUGUAGCGGUGAAAUGCUUAGAUAUGACGCAGAACUCCGAUUGCGAAGGCAGCUUACUGGAGUGCGAUUGACGCUGAGGCUCGAAAGUGCGGGAAUCAAACAGGAUUAGAUACCCUGGUA
RNAcentral lists this ribosomal RNA (453 nucleotides) under uncultured Paraprevotella sp. RNAcentral describes it as "partial 16S ribosomal RNA". It matches the Rfam family "Bacterial small subunit ribosomal RNA", at positions 341 to 792 of the family's 1533-position model. The record is from RNAcentral. Lineage: Bacteria; Pseudomonadati; Bacteroidota; Bacteroidia; Bacteroidales; Prevotellaceae.